CUUCCGUAGGUGAACCUGCGGAAGGAUCAUUAGUGAAUGUUUUACCAAAAAGAGGGCGCCACUCUGUGGGCCCUUGAAAUUCUUCACCUUUAUCCAUAUAUACACCUGUGCAUGCUGGUUGAAGCGCGGCUUUUCGCUCGCUUUGGCCUCCAUUUAUCCUAAACACUACAGUCGAUUGGAUGUACUAGAAAAAUCAAGGGUCACACCUUGUAAACAGAAAGAAAACUUUCGACAACGGAUCUCUUGGUUCUCCCAUCGAUGAAGAACGCAGCGAAAUGCGAUAAGUAAUGUGAAUUGCAGAAUUCAGUGAAUCAUCGAAUCUUUGAACGCACCUUGCGCUCUUGGGUAUUCCCAAGAGCAUGCCUGUUUGAGUGUCAUGAAUCCUUCGAACUCAAUGUUUGUUUCUUUUCGAGAGACUUGCAUUGCUAGUUUGGAUUUGGGCGUUGUUUUUGCCUUUAGCAAUAAAGGCUCGCCUGAAAGAUAGUAGCUGGAAAGCGCGAGGCUACUGAAGCCGACUUGUGCGCCCUUUUUUGCAAGCGUUCAUCGUUAUGGUUUUUUUCAUCGAUGAGCUAUAAACGUCUUGUGAGGGGGGGUGUAUCUAAGCAAGUUGGAGUCAGACUUUGCAUAAGCUUUUUGCUGCGAAUCCGCAGUUUAUAUUUAAACGCAACAUUUUUCAUAUCUGCCUCAAAUCAGGAG
RNAcentral lists this unclassified non-coding RNA (696 nucleotides) under Tilletiopsis sp. 0911MAR11K1. RNAcentral's name for it is "sequence contains 18S rRNA gene, ITS1, 5.8S rRNA gene, ITS2, 28S rRNA gene". The stretch from base 224 to 377 matches the Rfam family "5.8S ribosomal RNA". Lineage: Eukaryota; Fungi; Basidiomycota; Exobasidiomycetes; Entylomatales. The record is from RNAcentral.